Molecule: ribosomal RNA, 497 nt
Filed under: uncultured bacterium
Lineage: Bacteria
Description: partial 16S ribosomal RNA
Rfam family: Bacterial small subunit ribosomal RNA
Source: RNAcentral
GACGAACGCUGGCGGCGUGCCUAAUACAUGCAAGUAGAACGCUGAAGCGAGGAGCUUGCUCUUCUUGGAUGAGUUGCGAACGGGUGAGUAACGCGUAGGUAACCUGCCUUGUAGCGGGGGAUAACUAUUGGAAACGAUAGCUAAUACCGCAUAACAAUGGAUGACGCAUGUCAUUUAUUUGAAAGGGGCAAUUGCUCCACUACAAGAUGGACCUGCGUUGUAUUAGCUAGUAGGUGAGGUAAUGGCUCACCUAGGCGACGAUACAUAGCCGACCUGAGAGGGUGAUCGGCCAAACUGGGACUGAGACACGGCCCAGACGCCUACGGGAGGCAGCAGUAGGGAAUCUUCGGCAAUGGGGGCAACGCUGACCGAGCAACGCCGCGUGAGUGAAGAAGGGUUUCGGAUCGUAAAGCUCUGUUGUAAGUCAAGAACGGGUGUGAGAGUGGAAAGUUCACACUGUGACGGUAGCUUACCAGAAAGGGACGGCUAACUACGUG